AAGCAGGUUUACUCAAGGGUAUAUGGUGAAUGCCUUGGGAUAUUGGGGCGAUGAAGGACGUGGCGUAGCUGCGAUAAGCCUCGGGGAGGUGUGUAGCAACCUUUGAUCCGGGGAUUUCCGAAUGGGGAAACCCAAUCUCGAUAAAUCGGGAUUAGUCCCGUCGAAUGAUGGGACAGCGAACUCGGCGAAGUAAAACAUUUCAGUAGCCGGAGGAAAAGAGAAAGAAUUUUAUUCCCUUAGUAGCGGCGAGCGAAAAGGGAAGAGCCUAAACCUUUUAUAAUUUUUCUAAAAAAUUCUAAAAGGGGUUGCAAGGUAAUGGCGUUGGAGGCAACUCCAGGGAGUAAAAAAUUAAGACUUCCUUAGUCGAACAUGGCUGGAAAGCCUGACCACAGUGGGUAAUAGUCCUUUAGGCGAAAAGGGUCUUAUACUCCUUGUCAUUAUUCUUAAGUACGGCGAGAAACGAUAAUCUUGUCGGAAACAGGCAGAACUAUUCUGCCAAGGCUAAAUACCCAAUAUCACCGAUAGUGAACAAGUACCGCGAGGGAAAGGUGAAAAGUAGCCCGAUAAGGGCGGUGAAAUAGUACCUGAAACCAUAUACUUACAAAGAGUCGGAGCCUUGACGCAAGUCGGGGUGACGGCGUGCUUUUUGCAGAACGACCCAACGAGUUUUUACGUCUUCUUUGUCUAAGUCCAUAAGGACGGAGGCACAGGGAAACCGAGUGUGAAUAGCGCGUUUAUAAGAGGACGCAAAAGACCCGAAGCCAAGCGAGCUACCCAUGACCAGGAUGAACUCAGUAGAAAUACUGGGGAAGGUCCGAACUCACGAGCCGUGCAAUACUCGGAGAUGAGUUGUGGGUUGUAGUGAAAAGCUUAUCGAGCUUGGUAAUAGCUGGUUCUCCUCGAAAUAGCUUUUGGGCUAGCCUCUUUUCACUUUCUGGGGGUAGAGCACUAGAAGGAAUAUCGUGGUUUUACCUAGGUAUCCUACUAAACUCCGAAUACCAGAAGUUAAAAUGAAAAGGGAGUAAGACUACGAGGGCUAAGCUUCGUAGUCAAAAGGGUAACAGCCCAGAUCGUCAUCUAAGGUCCCUAAGCUAAGUUAAGUGGCAAAAGAAGUGUUUCGUCUUUGACAGAUGGGAUGUUAGCUUAGAAGUAGCUACCAUUUAAAGAGUGUGUAACAACUCACCAUUCUAUGUUUAUCUAGGGCGAGGCGCGCUGAAAAUGUUCGGGGCUAAACUUAGCACCGAAGAUACGGAUUCCGUCUUUUUUAAAAAGAUGGAGUGGUAGAGGAGCAUUUCCUGCGCAGCGAAGCUCCGUUGUAAGGCGGGGUGGAGCGCAGGGAAGAGAGAAUGUUGGGAUGAGUAACCGCAAAUCCGAUGAGAAAUCGGAUCACCGAAAACCUAAGGUUUCCUUGGCAAUGUAAAUCAGCCAAGGGUUAGGCGAACCUAAGGCGACCCCGAAAGGGUUAGUCGAUGGACAGCCGGUUAAUAUUCCGGCCCCUCUUCAUUUUUCUAUGGAGUGACGAAGUUUUGUAACUUAGGCAUAUUAUUGGAUUUAUGUUGUCUACUUGAGGAUGUCUAAUAGGUAAAUCCGUUAGAUACCAGUCCAAGAGUUGGUAAAAGGUUUGUCCACGGACAGGCCAAUCUAAGUGAGCAAGCUUCCAAGAAAAACUUCUAAGUCUAAAAAUGGAGAGUUCGUACCGUAAACCGAAACAGGUAGGUAGGGCGAGUAGCCCAAGGUGAACAGGUUAACCCUCGUUAAGGAACUCGGCAAAACAACGGCCGUAAGUUCGCAAUAAGGCCUUCCGUUCAUGAAAACUGAGCGGACGCAGUUAAAGAUCCCUAGCGACUGUUUACUAAAAACACAGGUCCCUGCUAACUCGUAAGAGGAUGUAUAGGGGCUGACGCUUGACCAGUGCUAGAAGGUUAACGAUGGGGGUUCUCGCCGUAAGGCGAGAGCUCACUGUCCGAAGCCCUAGUGAACGUCGGCGAUAACUAUAAUCGUCCUAAGGUACCGAAAUUCCUUGGCAUGUAAGUUAUGUCCUGCAGGAAAAGCGGAACGACUGGGGAACUGUCUCAACGAGGAGCCUGGUGAAAAUGCAAUGUCGGUGAAGAUGCCGACUACCUUCGGUAAGACGAAAAGACCCCGGGAGCUUUACUAUAGGUUCUCAUUGGGUUAUCGUUUUUGAUGCGUAGUAUAGUGGGGAGGCUUUGAAGCCUUGACUUCGGUUGGGGUGGAGCCGACAGUGAAAUACCCAUCUUUAAAAAUGAUAAUUCUAACCUUCCUGUAAUACGGGAAGAGACAGUGAGUGCUAGGUAGUUUAAGUGGGGCGCUUGCCUCCUAAAAGGUAACGGAGGCGUUUAUCAAGGUUGGCUAGCUCCGGAUGGAAAUCGGAGCGGUAGUGUAAAAGCAUAAGCCAGCUUUACUGCAAGACGGGCAUGUCGCGCAGUUGCGAAAGCAGAAUUUAGUGAACCGACCCUGGAUUAUAGAAUCGGGGAAGACAUCGGACAAAAGCUACCCCGGGGAUAACAGGCUGGUAGGUGCUGAGAGCCCACAUCGACGCACCUGUUCGGCACCUCGAUGUCGGCUCAUCCUAUCCUGGGGCUGAAGAAGGUCCCAAGGGUUUGGCUGUUCGCCAAUUAAAAGGGUACGUGAGCUGGGUUUAAACCGUCGUGAGACAGGUUGGACUCCUAUCUACCGUAGGCGUGGAUACUUGAGUGACCUCAUCCCUAGUACGAGAGGACCGGGAUGAACGAACCUCUGGCGUACCAGCUGCCCUGCCAAGGGCACUGCUGGGUAACUAUGUUCGGCAGAGAUAAGCGCUGAAAGCAUAUAAGCGCGAAACUCUUCACAAGAUUAGGUAUCAUAGAUUGGUCGAAGACUACGACCUUAAUAGGCUUCAGGUAUAAGUCCCGUAAGGGAUUAAGCCGAGAAGUACUAAUAAAUCAUUAGCCUGUUUAU
Candidatus Portnoybacteria bacterium RBG_13_40_8 is the source of this 2958-nucleotide non-coding RNA. The record is from Rfam. Lineage: Bacteria; Candidatus Portnoyibacteriota.